UACGUAGGGGGCGAGCGUUGUCCGGAUUCAUUGGGCGUAAAGCGCGCGUAGGCGGCCCCGCAAGUCGGCCGUGAAAUCUCCGGGCUCAACUCGGAGGGGUCGGGCGAGACUGCGGGGCUCGAGGUGGGCAGAGGGCAGUGGAAUUCCGGGUGUAGUGGUGGAAUGCGUAGAGAUCCGGAGGAAUACCAGUGGCGCAAGCGGCGCUCUGGGUCGCAUCUGACACUGAGACGCGAAGGCAUGGGGAGCGAACGGG
RNAcentral lists this ribosomal RNA (253 nucleotides) under uncultured bacterium. RNAcentral describes it as "partial 16S ribosomal RNA". It matches the Rfam family "Bacterial small subunit ribosomal RNA", at positions 524 to 776 of the family's 1533-position model. The record is from RNAcentral.